UCCCAGCUGUAAACGAUGCGGGCUAGGUGUUGGGGUAGCCACGAGCUGCCCCAGUGCCGCAGAGAAGUUGUUAAGCCCGCCGCCUGGGGAGUACGGCCGCAAGGCUGAAACUUAAAGGAAUUGGCGGGGGAGCACCACAAGGGGUGAAGGCUGCGGUUUAAUUGGAGUCAACGCCGGGAACCUUACCGGGGCUGACAGCAGAGUGAAGGCCAGACUGAAGAUCUUGCCAGACAAGCUGAGAGGAGGUGCAUGGCCGUCGACAGUUCGUGCCGUGAGGUGUCCUGUUAAGUCAGGCAACGAACGAGACCCCUGCCUUUAGUUGCCAGCGGAUUCCAACGGAAUGCCGGGCACACUAACGGGACUGCCACCGAU
Molecule: ribosomal RNA, 372 nt
Filed under: uncultured bacterium
Lineage: Bacteria
Description: bacterial SSU rRNA
Rfam family: Archaeal small subunit ribosomal RNA
Source: RNAcentral